CAUUGCUGUGUUCAACAACUGCACUGAGAUUGUUAAAAUACUGAUUGAUGCAGGUUGUGACCUGGGCUUGUUUGAUUAUCGGCUGCAAACAGUUUUGCACAUAGCAGCAGAACACGGAUACCAGAACAUAGCUGAACUGAUCCUCCUGGCUGGAGUUAACCUCGAACUACUCGACAAGCAGAAAAAGACAUCAUUGGACAUUGCAGCUAGAAGCAAUCAUGUAAACGUGGUAGACAUGAUUAUCAAAGCU
Trichomycterus rosablanca is the source of this 250-nucleotide long non-coding RNA. RefSeq lists it as uncharacterized. NCBI's taxonomy places the organism in Eukaryota, Metazoa, Chordata, Actinopteri, Siluriformes, Trichomycteridae. The record is from RefSeq and is a predicted model, not a curated record. The transcript has 3 exons.